UAUGUUGAAAUAUAUUGUUAAUUGUUUAACGAAACUGAACGAUUUAACAAUGUAUUUAAGCUAAAUCUCGAAAUCUGUUUUGUAGAUUGCACCGUUAAGAGACAUUGAGAGCCAUUUAACAAUGAUUAUAUGAAGAGAUAAUUGAGUUAUCUGCUAAAUAAAGGAAGUUAUUCGACUUUUAAGAUGAUCCACUUCAAUGAAAUGACCUAAUUUUCAAGGAACUUAAUGCUGUUCAACAUGCUAAGAAAUGGAUAAUAAAGUCUCUAGAAUCGGGGACAAGCUGUCAAUUCUUAGACUCAACCUCAAAAAUACACAACCUUGUUACAAUUUAAGUAAUUCUCCUUCUCUGGAGUAGAAAGAGUAGAAAGUCAUUUAAAUAUCCUCUUUUUCUGGAGCAGAGGGAGGAAUGAGUUUAAACGUUAAUAAAAAGCCUCAACUAGUUGUUUCCUUAUGGGGGAAAUCUGCUAAUCUUUUGACACAGGAAGCUUCAGAUUCGGCAUAAAAUCAUAAAACGUAAGCUGUAUUAAUUAAUAAAAAUCAAAUUUUGUUUAUCUUUUAAAUAAAUUUUAAUUUUUUUAUGAUUAAUUAUAUAUUUAAACAUUAGACAAAGGUUAAACUAGUUUGCUCUUGUUAUGACUUUAAC
This is a long non-coding RNA of Centruroides sculpturatus (bark scorpion), 643 nucleotides long. RefSeq lists it as uncharacterized. The transcript has 3 exons. NCBI's taxonomy places the organism in Eukaryota, Metazoa, Arthropoda, Arachnida, Scorpiones, Buthidae. The record is from RefSeq and is a predicted model, not a curated record.